Small nuclear RNA from Balaenoptera musculus (blue whale), 107 nucleotides. NCBI's taxonomy places the organism in Eukaryota, Metazoa, Chordata, Mammalia, Artiodactyla, Balaenopteridae. The record is from Ensembl.
GUGCUUGCUUUGGCAGCACACAUACUAAAAUUGGAACGCUACAAAGAAGAUUAGCAUGGCCCGUGCACAAGGGUUACAUGCAAAUUUGUGAAGCUUUCCAUUUUUUU